CCNGGAGWUUNUUNNUGGCGAACGGGUGAGUAACACGUGGGCAAUCUGCCCUGCACUCUGGGACAAGCCCUGGAAACGGGGUCUAAUACCGGAUACUGACCCGCUUGGGCAUCCAAGCGGUUCGAAAGCUCCGGCGGUGCAGGAUGAGCCCGCGGCCUAUCAGCUUGUUGGUGAGGUAAUGGCUCACCAAGGCGACGACGGGUAGCCGGCCUGAGAGGGCGACCGGCCACACUGGGACUGAGACACGGCCCAGACUCCUACGGGAGGCAGCAGUGGGGAAUAUUGCACAAUGGGCGAAAGCCUGAUGCAGCGACGCCCCGUGAGGGAUGACGGCCUUCGGGUUGUAAACCUCUUUCAGCAGGGAAGAAGCGAAAGUGACGGUACCUGCAGAAGAAGCGCCGGCUAACUACSUGCCAGCAGCCGCGGUAAUACGUAGGGCGCGAGCGUUGUCCGGAAUUAUUGGGCGUAAAGAGCUCGUAGGCGGCUUGUMACGWCGGCUGUGAAARCCCGSGGSUUWWMCCCCCGUCUGC
This 530-nucleotide ribosomal RNA is filed under the name Streptomyces sp. RNAcentral's name for it is "partial 16S ribosomal RNA". It matches the Rfam family "Bacterial small subunit ribosomal RNA", at positions 81 to 624 of the family's 1533-position model. The record is from RNAcentral. Lineage: Bacteria; Bacillati; Actinomycetota; Actinomycetes; Kitasatosporales; Streptomycetaceae.